AUUGAACGCUGGCGGCAGGCCUAACACAUGCAAGUCGAACGGUAGCACAGAGAGCUUGCUCUUGGGUGACGAGUGGCGGACGGGUGAGUAAUGUCUGGGAAACUGCCCGAUGGAGGGGGAUAACUACUGGAAACGGUAGCUAAUACCGCAUAACGUCUUCGGACCAAAGUGGGGGACCUUCGGGCCUCACACCAUCGGAUGUGCCCAGAUGGGAUUAGCUAGUAGGUGGGGUAAUGGCUCACCUAGGCGACGAUCCCUAGCUGGUCUGAGAGGAUGACCAGCCACACUGGAACUGAGACACGGUCCAGACUCCUACGGGAGGCAGCAGUGGGGAAUAUUGCACAAUGGGCGCAAGCCUGAUGCAGCCAUGCCGCGUGUAUGAAGAAGGCCUUCGGGUUGUAAAGUACUUUCAGCGGGGAGGAAGGCGAUGAGGUUAAUAACCGCAUCGAUUGACGUUACCCGCAGAAGAAGCACCGGCUAGCUCCGUGCCAGCCGCCGCCGUAA
This 504-nucleotide ribosomal RNA is filed under the name uncultured bacterium. RNAcentral's name for it is "partial 16S ribosomal RNA". It matches the Rfam family "Bacterial small subunit ribosomal RNA", at positions 30 to 523 of the family's 1533-position model. The record is from RNAcentral.